This is a long non-coding RNA of Homo sapiens (human), 477 nucleotides long. Ensembl annotates it as long intergenic non-protein coding RNA 2759. NCBI's taxonomy places the organism in Eukaryota, Metazoa, Chordata, Mammalia, Primates, Hominidae. The record is from Ensembl.
GUUCUACCUCUUGACAUGUAGUAUGAACAUAAAGCACAGUUGAUUCCUGAGCUGUGAUGACUUUCCACUGACCAUACUACUGCAAUGAUGUUAUUCUGGGCCAAACUUCGGAAUCAAUUCUUGUCUGCUGCCUGAUUCAAUUAUUUUUAAUGCACCCUGUGGAUUUUUACUUGCUAAAGUAGAAAGAAGAUCCCAACAUUUGAUGAGAAAAUAUACAGAAGGGAGGCUGAUCCCGGGUGCACUGUGGCAGGUGGCAGUAUAGAUUUUUGUGAAGCAGCAGUGUGCUGUGAUAUGAGUAGCAGAUGAAGAAGGAAGGAAAUGAAGUCACUCAAUUCUUAUAUGGCAUAAUUACUCUUAUAUUUGGAAUCAACAUGUGGAAUUUCUAGAUUUUCUCUAGUUAAGAAAUUUGAAAAUGGCCUGACUAGAUUAUUUUGGCUUGAGGACUCUCAGGAGAUUCACUUCAGAUUUUGUUCAUUA